ACACUCCAUGCAGCAACAAACCAACAAAGUGAUCACCAGCACCAGCCAACUCAUCAAACAGCUCUCUGAUAUAAUCAGCAGCUCUUCACGGCAAGACCGUCUGCACCUGACUAGACUAAAGACUGAACUCUCAGAGUCUGUGCAGCGCUACGGGGAUCUGCAGAAGAAAAUUGCGGAGCGUUCAAGGGCCCUGCUGCCUCCAGCACUGAGAGACAAGAAGGUGAGCU
This is a long non-coding RNA of Notothenia coriiceps (black rockcod), 227 nucleotides long. RefSeq lists it as uncharacterized. Lineage: Eukaryota; Metazoa; Chordata; Actinopteri; Perciformes; Nototheniidae. The transcript is spliced from 3 exons. The record is from RefSeq and is a predicted model, not a curated record.